AUGGAUGCGCAGGACAAAGGGAGGAUUCGCAUCCCAGGCAGGAUGUGGCAUGAUGGUGGUGGGAUGUCAGCCCAGGAAGCAGGUAAGGGCAAGGAUGGGAGCAGGGGCCGUGUGUGUGUGAGAACCCAGCUGCUGCGUCUGCAGGGAGGGUCCUGUCUGAGCGGUGGUAGCCGUCCUGGCUCAGCUCAUCACUGCCAUCUGCUUUGCUUGCUCCAUGCGCAGGGCGGGUCUGGGCGGUCUGGAGCCUGGUGGGUGGCCUGCCUGCUGCACCCUGAGUGCUGCAGGGCCCCGCCCCUGGGGUGCCGAGAGCAAAUGAGCUCUGUGAGCUUAAACUUUUCCCCUGUUCUUGCCUCUUCCUUUUCCGAUGCUUCCUCUGCAGCUGAUCAGCCGGCAGGAGCUGCCAUGGGGCCCUGCUUAGCAGCCCCCCACCUCUGCUGGGCCUCGGGGCUGCUGGCCUUCCUCAGCCCCCUCCUCAGCAUCUGCAGCACCUUGGGCAAGGGCCCUGAAGCUCGUGGCUCCGGGGUUCUGGAUUCUGGACUCCACUUUCCUGUGAAGAGGACGCGAGGGGGCUCCGUGUCGUUCCAUGUGGUGCAGCAGCCAGGAUGGGCUCCUGGAGAGAAGCUGGAGGAGAUCUCGUGGGGCUUUGGCCCUGAGUCAGCGUACAGAGUCAUCCUGCUGGUCCACAGUGGGACAGCCUCUCCAACCUGGGUCAGCCUCGAGGACAAGUUCAAACCAAGGCUCCACAUGCCCAACAUGACGUCCCUUGUGAUUGAGAAUGUGACCUCACAGGACAGUGGGCAGUAUCGGGCUCAGAUCAGAUUCACUGGAGGACUUUUAUCUACCCAGGUUUUCCACCUCACUGUCUAUGAGCCAGUGCCUGCUCCUCAAAUCCUGGCUGAGUCACCGUCCAUCACAUCUGGCUGGUGCAACGUCACCCUGCAAUGCAGGGCCACAGGGGCCACAGAGCAGCUGAACGUGACCUGGGAGAGCACAGGCCCCCCCAGCGAGCUGAAGCAGGGAGGGGCACCAGGACCAGCCCCCAACUCCUGGACUCUGGCUGUGAGUCUACCUCGGAGUCAGCCCAAAGCCAGCCUCACCUGUGUGGUCAGCAACCAGGGGGACCAGAAGAGCGCCACCUUGGACCUGGGUGAUGUCUGUGUCCAAGAAACAGACUCGCAUGGACAGGCCAUUGCUUGCCUUGUGCAAGUAAUCCGGGGCACUCUUCUGGCUGUUCUGCUGAUCCUGGGAGCUGGAUUAUUCCUUUGGAGGACCCGUGGGAGGAAGAAGAAGGAGACUGGAAGAGGUGCCUCCCCAUAGGGUGCCUGCCUGACUGUACACGAGGCCAGUCCCCCAUUGCCUCUGCUGUGUCACCGGUGUGUGUCUUUUUGAGAGCACGAGACCCAGUGUGGGGAUACUGUGGAGGCAUUGACCGCGCUGGAGGAGCUGAGUUCUGGAUCCUGAGUUGGAAGAUGAUGGAAGCAAUGUGGGUGGUUGGGAACUGGCAAAGGAGUGGCCUGAAACUUCCUUUGCAGACCUUGCAUAGGGCUCCCUUGGGGGUGUUGGGCAGUGUGUGUGUGUGUGUGUGCGUGUGUGUGUGCGAUUGUGGUAGUGUCUACUGCACAUUGUGUACCUGGGCUGGAGCUCUUUUCCUUUGGCAUGUGUGCUAAUGUCACGCUGCCUCCGCCUCAGCUCGUGGCUUCCUGGGCAGUGGGAAGAGAAGUCUGUGCUGUCUCUGGCCCUUUCCAGAUGCGUGUCUCCCAGAGAACAACCCUGGGAAGCAGUCAGGAGUUUUCUUAGGAAAACAGCCUCAGCUCACCCUGAUCUCCAAUUCUGGCAGCUGGUGGUGAGAACAGGUGUGCAGUGUCACCGCACACCCUCUGGUGGGUGCUGCUGUGUCCUCUGGCGGGUAAUGCUAGGGGAAGGUGUGACCUGAUCAUCUUGGCCUCUCCACUUAGCUGCAGUGCCUGAGCCUGCUGGCCCCAAGCCCUAAUGCAGCCUUUUUGUUGCUCACUCUAACACUGCCCGGUUUGGCUCUGCGACUUCCAGUGACUUUGCUUGACCCAGAGGUCUGAACUGAGGAUUCUCCCCCUCGUGAUAUCCCUCCCCUCAGUGCCUGAGGACCUGAUGUAGCCCGUUUGCAUCCUGCUGUAUGGAUGCUCCUUUUCUGCAUGGGGGUCCUCACUUGCUUGGAUCCUCUUCCUCCUGCCUUUGGCCCUGGGGUUCGCAUCACAGUUAAGCUGACUGAUGAGCUAGGCUCCUGAGUCUUGAUUCUUCCAGUUCGGCUGAGCUUCCUCAGAUCUGACUCCAGAAAUCAAAUGUCUGAACAGGGUCCCUGCUAAGGGCUAUGAUCCAAUGCUUGUGACCUGCUGAUGGUGGAUGAGUGAGUGAGGGCAGAAUAGGGCUCUGUCUCCGACUUCUUGUUCUCAGACUAAGCAUAAAUCUGAUGAUGUGAAAGAUACCAUAUCCUCACUGACAGGUGACCAGUCAUAGCUGGGCAUCAACACCUAUCAGCCCAAUGUAAGCUGUGACCACCCAUUGACAGUUCCCACUACACCUAAAGCAGAAAAAAAUAAGGAAAAUAAAAAAUAAGGAAAAAAUUUUUAAAAAAGAGAA
Long non-coding RNA from Oryctolagus cuniculus (rabbit), 2613 nucleotides. NCBI's taxonomy places the organism in Eukaryota, Metazoa, Chordata, Mammalia, Lagomorpha, Leporidae. The record is from Ensembl.